RNAcentral lists this non-coding RNA (85 nucleotides) under uncultured Acetatifactor sp. Its description in RNAcentral is "NiCo riboswitch". It matches the Rfam family "NiCo (Nickel/Cobalt) riboswitch aptamer". Lineage: Bacteria; Bacillati; Bacillota; Clostridia; Lachnospirales; Lachnospiraceae. The record is from RNAcentral.
ACAGUACAAACUGAGCAGGCGGUGGAGCAAUCCAUGUGGCCGGGUCACAUCCGUGACAACAGAUGUGUUACAUCUGUGGGACAGU